RNAcentral lists this ribosomal RNA (403 nucleotides) under uncultured bacterium. RNAcentral describes it as "partial 16S ribosomal RNA". It matches the Rfam family "Bacterial small subunit ribosomal RNA", at positions 28 to 526 of the family's 1533-position model. The record is from RNAcentral.
GACGAACGCUGGCGGCGUGCCUAAUACAUGCAAGUCGAACGCAGUGGGGACGGGUGAGUAACACGUGGGUAACCUCCCAUCAGAUGGGAUAACACUUGGAAACAGGUGCUAAACCGAUACUGAUGGAUGGACCCGCGGUGCAUUAGCUAGUUGGUGAGGUAACGGCUCACCAAGGCCACGCUGCAUAGGCACCGGGGCGGGGUGGCCGGCCACACUGGAACUGAGGCACGGCCCAAAUUCCUACGGGAGGAGGCAGUGGGGAAUCGUCGGCAAUGGAGGAAAGUCGGACCGAGCAACGCCGCUUAAGUAAGAAGGGUUUUCGAAUCGUAAGACUCUGUUGUUGAAGAAGCGGUAACUAACCAGAAGGCCACGGCUAACUACGUGCCAGCCGCCGCGGUAAUUC